GAGAAUCCUCUCUCCCAGAUAAUGACACUCUCAGACAAGAGUCCAAGUUGUUUGAAAGGCUAUUUCUUGGCCAGAAGACUCUCAAUCCCUUCUUGA
Molecule: microRNA precursor, 96 nt
Filed under: Echinops telfairi (small Madagascar hedgehog)
Lineage: Eukaryota; Metazoa; Chordata; Mammalia; Afrosoricida; Tenrecidae
Description: microRNA 488 (ENSETEG00000021651.1)
Rfam family: mir-488 microRNA precursor family (bases 1-83)
Source: RNAcentral